UUGCCAGCGGAGGCGCAGAUGUAAGCCUCUUGGAAAAGAGCACCAACGAGGGUGAUAGUCCCGUUUGUCAUCUGCAGCCCCCCGUGUACGGCGCAUGUUCUAAGAGUCGCGUUCCUCGGGAUUGGAGCGUAAAUGGGUGGUAAAUUUCAUCUGAAGCUAAAUAUUGGUUCGAGACCGAUAGCAAACAAGUACCAUGAGGGAAAGGUGAAAAGGACUUUGAAAAGAGAGUUAAAAGUGCCUGAAAUUGCUGAGAGGGAAGCGAAUGGAACCAGCUUUGCUUGGCGAGAUUGUUGCAUGCUAUAGCUAUGGCUUGCUAUGGUAACGCAAGUGCCCUAGCUUGCCACCAACUUGAUGCAUGCGGUGGUUCUUGCUUUGUGUGUCAGCUUUGGCGCAGACCUGAUGAAAACUGUAGGGUCAAGGUAGCUCGUCUCCGGGUGAGUGAAUGUCCCUGCAAGAAAUCACGUGUGCGCUUGAUAUGGCGUGCCUCUUUUGGUGAGCCACAAGAUUGAUGACAAAAUGGUUCCAUACGACCCGUCUUGAAACACGGACCAAGG
RNAcentral lists this ribosomal RNA (554 nucleotides) under Torquentidium flavescens. Its description in RNAcentral is "partial large subunit ribosomal RNA". It matches the Rfam family "Eukaryotic large subunit ribosomal RNA", at positions 161 to 671 of the family's 3401-position model. Lineage: Eukaryota; Dinophyceae; Gymnodiniales; Ceratoperidiniaeceae. The record is from RNAcentral.